GCCUCUGAAAGGUCGUGGCUCACUGGUAGAGCAUCUGCUUUGCAUGUAGAAGGUACUAGGUUCAAACCUCUGCUGUAUUUCCCGGUGGGGCU
This is a non-coding RNA of Podarcis lilfordi (Lilford's wall lizard), 92 nucleotides long. NCBI's taxonomy places the organism in Eukaryota, Metazoa, Chordata, Lepidosauria, Squamata, Lacertidae. The record is from the annotation of a GenBank genome assembly.